UAGAUAGAGGCCAGUUGGUUUAGGGCAUAUAGCUGUUAACUAUAGAAUUGUGGGAUCGAAGCCCACCUGUCUAG
Molecule: transfer RNA, 74 nt
Filed under: Buphagus erythrorhynchus (red-billed oxpecker)
Lineage: Eukaryota; Metazoa; Chordata; Aves; Passeriformes; Sturnidae
Source: Rfam by way of RNAcentral